AGAUGAGCAAGGACAGUAUCUCAGGAAUAAGUCUCGGCUAACUACGUGCCAGCAGCCGCGGUAAAACGUAGGAGGCAAGCGUUAUCCGGAUUCACUGGGCGUAAAGCGCGUGCAGGCGGUUCGGUAAGUUGGGCGUGAAAUCUCCUGGCUUAACUAGGAGAGGUCGUUCAAUACUACCGGACUUGAGAGUGAUAGAGGAAGAUGGAAUUCCCGGUGUAGUGGUGAAAUGCGUAGAUAUCGGGAGGAACACCAGUGGCGAAAGCGAUCUUCUGGAUCAUUUCUGACGCUCAGACGCGAAAGCUAGGGUAGUAAACGGGAUUAGAGACCCCGGUAAUCCUAGCCGUAAACGAUGUAAACUUGGCGUCGGCGGCUUAAACUCCGUCGGUGCCGCAGCUAACGCGAUAAGUUUACCGCCUGGGGACUACGAUCGCAAGAUUAAAACUCAAAGGAAUUGACG
This 457-nucleotide ribosomal RNA is filed under the name uncultured bacterium. Its description in RNAcentral is "bacterial SSU rRNA". It matches the Rfam family "Bacterial small subunit ribosomal RNA", at positions 460 to 915 of the family's 1533-position model. The record is from RNAcentral.